RNAcentral lists this ribosomal RNA (520 nucleotides) under uncultured Pleosporales. RNAcentral's name for it is "eukaryotic LSU rRNA". The stretch from base 155 to 308 matches the Rfam family "5.8S ribosomal RNA". Lineage: Eukaryota; Fungi; Ascomycota; Dothideomycetes; Pleosporales. The record is from RNAcentral.
GGAGGAUCAUUAUCGUAGGGCUUCGGCCCUGUCGAGAUAGAACCCUUGCCUUUUUGAGUACCUUUCGUUUCCUCGGCAGGCUCGCCUGCCAAUGGGGACCACAAAAAACACUUUGCAGUACCUGUAAUAGUCUGAACAAACAAACAAAAAUUAAAACUUUCAACAACGGAUCUCUUGGUUCUGGCAUCGAUGAAGAACGCAGCGAAAUGCGAUAAGUAGUGUGAAUUGCAGAAUUCAGUGAAUCAUCGAAUCUUUGAACGCACAUUGCGCCCUUUGGUAUUCCUUAGGGCAUGCCUGUUCGAGCGUCAUUUAAACCUUCAAGCUCAGCUUGGUGUUGGGUGACUGUCCGCUUCACCGCGGACUCGCCUCAAAAUUAUUGGCGGCCGGUACAUUGGCUUCGAGCGCAGCAGAAACGCGAACUCGGGCCCGUCGUAUUGGCUCCCAGAAGCUAUCUUCACAAUUUUGACCUCGGAUCAGGUAGGGAUACCCGCUGAACUUAAGCAUAUCAAUAAGCGGAGGA